Molecule: long non-coding RNA, 401 nt
Organism: Branchiostoma belcheri (Belcher's lancelet)
Lineage: Eukaryota; Metazoa; Chordata; Leptocardii; Amphioxiformes; Branchiostomatidae
Exons: 3
Source: RefSeq, a predicted model, not a curated record
GUUAAGCCGCCCACUGUUGGCGUUACUACACUACAGGCAAGCCUAAUCUCAUCCCAAAGAUGGUAUCAAGGUUCUUAUUGCGCGGGAUUGGAGCUGGGACCCCACCCACCCGGGAGGGGCACGUCAUCAGCAGAUGACGCUCUAACAGGAUUCGAGCCUCCUGUACCCUGUCUACAAUACUUCUAGUAGCAACGCGCAGGGUAUUGAACUCCUUGUGAGUGGAUUCAAUGCCUUGCUCUCCAAAGAAGCCCAGGCCAAAGCCAUACCUCCUCAUCAGAGGCACAACAUGAGACUCAAGGCCAGGGGGAAGUCAAAGUCGUCCAUGAGCUCCUCUGCUUUGGUUACAGCAAUGCUGGUCAGCUGCUUGAUUGGGGCUUCCUGCAGAAGAUAAUUUCAGAUAA